UAGCAUAAUAGUCAAUACUUAAAUAAAUAAAACACAAGCAAAUUAAAUCAAACUAAUGAUGAUUAAAUUGAAUUUAAAACAAAAUUAAAAGGAAAAAAAUGAGAAUAAAAACAAAACUGAGGGCCAAAAUAUGACGCGCGGAUAACAUGGGGACCAAAUGGGAAAUAUUCCUUUCCCUCAAAACGCUGCAUCUUGGCACGGAUCAAAUUGGAAUGAAACUCAAAAAGCGUGGCCAAAUUUAAAUGAAAUAAAAGAAUCGAUUUGAAUUACCCUGCGAAAGAAAAGGGACUGUUUGUGAAUUUGCCCAAGUGUUACAAAAGACGCGGAUCCUUCCCCGAGUCGGGUCACUGCGCGGGUCAUGGCCACCAAACAACGUUGUUUUGGCAAUGGACUCUAGCUCAAAAUGGCGUCGUAUUGUGUCAUUAUUUAAACCAAAAUUUACUUUUAAAAAAAAAGAAAAAUUAUUUGCAACAAACGUUUAAAAAAAAAACUGCUUCUGCCUCUGCUAGGGUUUCAGCCCUUAGCCUCCUUUUUGCCAUUCAAAGAGGCGCCAUCACCUAUCCGAACUCCGAUUGCCACGGAGUGAACAGAGAUCCAGCAGCCCCACUACAAAGGUAACCUUCCUUAUUCUUCAACUCUUGUCUCAAUGAGUAAACAAACAAAGAAAAGAAUUAAAAAAAACGAAAAAGAAAAUAAUAAAAAAAGAAAAAAAAACUCAGAUCACCUUUUCAAAACUUUUUGAUUUUGUU
This 749-nucleotide long non-coding RNA is filed under the name Gossypium barbadense (sea-island cotton). Its description in RNAcentral is "long non-coding RNA (GBAR_LNC019984)". The record is from RNAcentral. Lineage: Eukaryota; Viridiplantae; Streptophyta; Magnoliopsida; Malvales; Malvaceae.